AGUGGCGAACGGGUGAGUAAUGCAUCGGAACGUACCGUGUAGUGGGGGAUAACGUAGCGAAAGUUACGCUAAUACCGCAUACGCCCUGAGGGGGAAAGUGGGGGACCGCAAGGCCUCACGCUAUAUGAGCGGCCGAUGUCGGAUUAGCUAGUUGGUAGGGUAAAGGCCUACCAAGGCGACGAUCCGUAGCGGGUCUGAGAGGAUGAUCCGCCACACUGGGACUGAGACACGGCCCAGACUCCUACGGGAGGCAGCAGUGGGGAAUUUUGGACAAUGGGCGCAAGCCUGAUCCAGCCAUGCCGCGUGAGUGAAGAAGGCCUUCGGGUUGUAAAGCUCUUUCAGACGGAAAGAAAUCUCUCGGGAUAACACCCUGGGAGGAUGACGGUACCGUAAGAAUAAGCACCGGCUAACUACGUGCCAGCAGCCGCGGUAAUACGUAGGGUGCGAGCGUUAAUCGGAAUUACUGGGCGUAAAGCGUGCGCAGGCGGUUAUGUAAGACAGAUGUGAAAUCCCCGGGCUCAACCUGGGAACUGCAUUAGUGACUGCAUAGCUGGAGUACGGCAGAAAGGGGGAUGGAAUUCCGCGUGUAGCAGUGAAAUGCGUAGAUUAUGCGGAGAAACACGAUGGCGACGCAUCCCCUGGGCCUGUACUGACGCUCAUGCACGAAAGCGUG
RNAcentral lists this ribosomal RNA (673 nucleotides) under uncultured Zoogloea sp. Its description in RNAcentral is "bacterial SSU rRNA". It matches the Rfam family "Bacterial small subunit ribosomal RNA", at positions 94 to 763 of the family's 1533-position model. Lineage: Bacteria; Pseudomonadati; Pseudomonadota; Betaproteobacteria; Rhodocyclales; Zoogloeaceae. The record is from RNAcentral.